GGAUAGCUCAGUCGGUAGAGCAUGAGACUUAAUCUCAGAAUUGUGGGUUUGAGCCCUAUGUUGGACA
RNAcentral lists this transfer RNA (67 nucleotides) under Podarcis lilfordi (Lilford's wall lizard). RNAcentral describes it as "tRNA.Sup". The stretch from base 4 to 59 matches the Rfam family "tRNA", at positions 8 to 63 of the family's 71-position model. From Rfam's summary of the family: Transfer RNA (tRNA) molecules are approximately 80 nucleotides in length. Their secondary structure includes four short double-helical elements and three loops (D, anti-codon, and T loops). The record is from RNAcentral. Lineage: Eukaryota; Metazoa; Chordata; Lepidosauria; Squamata; Lacertidae.